RNAcentral lists this microRNA precursor (121 nucleotides) under Gossypium hirsutum (cotton). RNAcentral's name for it is "MIR7502 microRNA precursor family". It matches the Rfam family "MIR7502 microRNA precursor family". Lineage: Eukaryota; Viridiplantae; Streptophyta; Magnoliopsida; Malvales; Malvaceae. The record is from Rfam by way of RNAcentral.
UGUUAAAAAAUUCAUCUAUUUUUACUAUUAAAAAUUAGUGUAGCUGAUAGAAUAACCAUGUAUCACAUUUUGACAUAUAAAGACCAGUUUUUAAUAAUAGAAACUAAUGAAAUUUUUAAUA